Molecule: long non-coding RNA, 231 nt
Filed under: Musa acuminata (dwarf banana)
Lineage: Eukaryota; Viridiplantae; Streptophyta; Magnoliopsida; Zingiberales; Musaceae
Description: long non-coding RNA (MACU_LNC007095)
Source: RNAcentral
AUAGCUUGCAAACAAAGAAUCCGUUCUCCAGCAUAUGAAGAUCAAAUGAUGAUAUUCCCCAUCGAGUUUUGAUAAAUGAGGAUAGUGGGUAAUAAGAUGUUUUGAGACCUACCACAUAGCCAACAAUCGCCAUAGACCAUGUCUCAAUAAGCUCUGCUGAAUCAGCAGUCUCGUAUACAACAAUCUUCUUAUCAGCCUGAACUUCUGGAGUAAAGAAUUCCAAGCUUAGAU